This is a long non-coding RNA of Lagopus muta (rock ptarmigan), 3163 nucleotides long. RefSeq lists it as uncharacterized. The transcript is spliced from 15 exons. The record is from RefSeq and is a predicted model, not a curated record. NCBI's taxonomy places the organism in Eukaryota, Metazoa, Chordata, Aves, Galliformes, Phasianidae.
GGGUUUUUUUCAGUAGUUCACCUCUGCUGGUGUUCUGUGAGUGAGCGCAGGAUUGGGGUUGCUGAUGUAUGGGGCACCUGGUGUGGAUAUGAAGACAGUGUCUGGUGCUACAUGUGAAGGCAUGACUGAGCCAAAAAUUGAAGGAUUUAAAGAAGACAAGAAUGACAACUUCAGAUUGUGAGAUGAGAAGCAGACAAAAAGAAGGAAGAAAACACAAGAAUGAUUGGACUUUCAGCGUAUCACCUUCCAAAUGAUCUCUGCACAAAGGGACUUUAUUCAAUUCAUUGUUCUCUGGAAAUCAGAUUGUAUUGUAUUUGCAGAACAAUAGAUCACUGUCUGCGUAAUAAGAUUUCCCUUCCUACAAAAUAAUGGUGAGGUGGAGAAGGGGCGAGAAAUUAAAAAUGAAGCUUCUUUAAAGUUAUAGAAAACUUCCAGAUCACAUAUUGAAAGUAUUACUGGUCUGCAUUUGAAUUAAAAACUGUGGAUUCUUCAAACUCCUUUGUGUUCCUCAGUAUCUGGCUGUGGAGAAUGCACCACUGUCAAGUUUCUCUGUGUGGUCCCAGCUCACCGUUUAUCCCCUGAUCUGUUGGAUGUGGAGCAGUAACAUCUCAAAAUGACAGUCACAUCAUGUUGGAUAAAAGAAAGAAACCAGAGAAGUCAUAAUUCACUUCGGCACUAAGUCAGCAGCAAGCAGCAGCAUUGCUGUGGAAUCCAAUCAAGUUAUUUCUACUUAUUUACUUACUGACUUCUGCUUUUGGGGAUCAAGACUUGCUAACUUUGAAGCCUGAGUUCAGUUGAAUGAAGAAGACCGCUUUUUAUGCUUUGUUCUGCGUUCAAGAUUUGAGCAAGAUCAUUGACUAAACAUACAUAAAUCACUGGCUUCAACCAACAACUUUUCUGACAACUGCUUCUGGCAGUCCACUAGUCUUUGUUUCAUGAUGGUAAUUAUCUGCCCAAAUUCUUCAAGAGUCUUCAAGCUGCUCUUUUCAAUAUACAGUGUCAUAAUGUUGCCACAUGGAUCACAGAAAGGAAUUAUAAAAAACUGAAUUAUGAUGUCGUAAUAUGAACUGUGACUUCAAAAUGGACAUCUUUCUGAGUUUGAAAAGAAUAGAGAUAUGCAGUGUAUUAUCACAGGCUAGAAGAACUGCAGUAAAAAUUAUUAGAGGAUUCUGACAAAGAAAACUUCACAGAAGUUAUCCGAAUGUGUUACUUGUAUUCUUUCAUCUUUGACGAUUUCUUCAAGUCUUAUGGCUACAGAAAUAACUUCAAUGGCUAUAUUUUUAAAACAAAAACUGAAAAUAAGCCUGAAAACAUCAAUAAAAAGCUUCUGACAGAAGGUCAUUAUGAGGAACUAUGCAAAGUGUUCUGAAUGAACAUCCUAUGAGGAAUUUGAGAAAACAGUGCUUUGAUGUAUGUAUAUAUUUAUAUUCAAAACCAGAGUCAUCCUGCUUUAAGUACAUCUGAUUGGAGAGUAUUAAAAAUUGGAAAGCUGAAAAUGGGACAUUAUGAUGUUACUGGACCUCUGAGAGAUAGCAAUUUGCCAAAGAUGACAGUGAAUUAUAUAGCAAGGUGACUGGUAUCAUCAGAAGGAGGACCAACCAACACAAAACUGUGAACCAGCACAUGAAACUAUGAGAGCAACCACACAGCAAGAAAUAAGUGGAAGGGUUUUAUGCUGUCUGUGGAUAUGGAUAGCUUAUAUACAUGGCUUUGCAAAAGCAGUUUGCUGGAAGAGGACAUUAUUAGAGACUAAGUCUGGAACUGCUAACUGAUGGAUAAAAUAGGUUUAUGUUGUAUUAUUUAUUUGGAAAAUCUGCCACCAGUUUCCAUGGAUGCUUGGAGAUCUAAAAAGGUGAAUAAAUUAUAAAUAUUUAAAAUUUGCCACAAAUAGCAUAUAUUGCAAACUCCAAAGAUACGGAGAAGAAUCAUCUUGUAGGCAUUGUUAAGUCCAGUGCUUAGAGGAGAGGAUCUGCAAGGAGGAAAAGAGUAAUUCAGUUAUCACAUGGACGUGGAGAGCUUUGCAGUGUUCAUGAGAGUAAGAGAGCAUAGGGAGCCUAUUAGCUUAAUGUGGAACCUGGUACACUAUACCCACCUCUACCCAUAUGAAAAGCUAUGUUUGCAGAUGUUACCAAUAUUUCUUAUAUGCCAAACUUUGCUGGCUUGCGAAUUACAAGAUGUUCAUCAUUUAUCAUAUCUUUAAGACUGCUCUUAUGGUCUGUCACUAUAGCAACUCAGUUGGCUUCUGCAGCAACACCUGGUCCUAUCAGUAGCUAUAUACUGUGGAGGUUUCCUCAUAAAUAAUCCAUGUGAAAGUGAAUGUAGCUGUCAUGUUAAUUUGUGGGUAACCUGGUUCUGGCAAGUUUAUAAUUAUAUUUAUGAAGCAAAUAAAGCAGAUUGUUUUUCUUCAGCAGUGACUUAACACAAACUGACAGAAACAAAUAAAUAAGUUUUACUAAUCACAGUUGAGGUAAAAGAAAUGUCACAGGAAUGUUCUAUUUGCCAUCUCGCAAAUAUAGUCCUAAAUAUGGCCUACUGUCUGUAUGGCCUCCACUCCAUAAGAAGUGUGUUACUCUUUAGGAAAUGUGUUUAGCUUCAAAGCAAAUAUCAUAUACAAGUUUUACUUAAAUUCAUUUUUUUCCCCUUCUGACCUUCAACUUUUUUCUAAUCUUUUCCACCCUGCUCUUGUUUCAUCCCUUACAGCUGGAGAUAGCAUUCACAAAUGACAGAAUAAUAGUUAUGUUUAAGAAUAUUACUGUAGGUUGAGAAAGACACGUUGUACUUAAGCUUCUUGUUCACCAUUGAAACUAACUGUGGAUGAUAGCAAAUUGAGAACUGGCGGCUCCUUUGAGUUCCAAGUGUCUCCUCUCCAGAUUUGUUCUUCAUUUUGUGGCAGACCUUUUCACAUCAAAAAGAAUUGCUAACCUUAGAAAGAGUCUAACAUUGUGAAUUGUGCUAUGCUUUUUCAUUACCUUUGGUAGUUGAAUAUGUUGGUGGAAGGUAGUUGGAGUGGUAGAAGAGCCUUCAUUUCUUACCUUCCGUUGCUUCAACAGACAUUUCAGCUAGAAAUUGCAAUAUUUCUGUAUAGAGUAGUAGGAAAUAAUCUUAGACUGAAAAUGAACUGUUAGAGAAACUACAAGGAAAAAGUGCCCACAGGACAUAAUGU